Molecule: ribosomal RNA, 257 nt
Filed under: uncultured bacterium
Lineage: Bacteria
Description: partial 16S ribosomal RNA
Rfam family: Bacterial small subunit ribosomal RNA
Source: RNAcentral
UACGAAGGGGGCUAGCGUUGCUCGGAAUCACUGGGGCGUAAAGGGUGCGUAGGCGGGUCUUUAAGUCAGGGGUGAAAUCCUGGAGCUCAACUCCAGAACUGCCUUUGAUACUGAGGAUCUUGAGUUCGGGAGAGGUGAGUGGAACUGCGAGUGUAGAGGUGAAAUUCGUAGAUAUUCGGCAAGAACACCAGUGGCGAAGGCGGCUCACUGGCCCCGAUACUGACGCUGAGGCACGAAAGCUAGGGGAGCAAACCGGG